AGUGAACGCUGGCGGUAGGCCUAACACAUGCAAGUCGAACGGCAGCACAGUAAGAGCUUGCUCUUACGGGUGGCGAGUGGCGGACGGGUGAGGAAUACAUCGGAAUCUACUUUUUCGUGGGGGAUAACGUAUGGAAACUUACGCUAAUACCGCAUACUACCUACGGGUGAAAGCAGGGGAUCUUCGGACCUUGCGCGAUUGAAUGAGCCGAUGUCGGAUUAGCUAGUUGGCGGGGUAAAGGCCCACCAAGGCGACGAUCCGUAGCUGGUCUGAGAGGAUGAUCAGCCACACUGGAACUGAGACACGGUCCAGACUCCUACGGGAGGCAGCAGUGGGGAAUAUUGGACAAUGGGCGCAAGCCUGAUCCAGCCAUACCGCGUGGGUGAAGAAGGCCUUCGGGUUGUAAAGCCCUUUUGUUGGGAAAGAAAAGCAGCAGGUUAAUACCACGCUGUUCUGACGGUACCCAAAGAAUAAGCACCGGCUAACUUCGUG
RNAcentral lists this ribosomal RNA (492 nucleotides) under uncultured bacterium. RNAcentral's name for it is "partial 16S ribosomal RNA". It matches the Rfam family "Bacterial small subunit ribosomal RNA", at positions 29 to 507 of the family's 1533-position model. The record is from RNAcentral.